Molecule: ribosomal RNA, 440 nt
Filed under: uncultured bacterium
Lineage: Bacteria
Description: partial 16S ribosomal RNA
Rfam family: Bacterial small subunit ribosomal RNA
Source: RNAcentral
CCUACGGGUGGCAGCAGUAGGGAAUAUUGCUCAAUGGGGGAAACCCUGAAGCAGCAACGCCGCGUGGAGGAUGAAGGUUUUCGGAUUGGAAACUCCUUGUGAUAGAGAAGAGAAUGACGGUAUCUAACGAAUAAGCACCGGCUAACGCCGUGCCAGCAGCCGCGGUAAUACGGAGGGUGCAAGCGUUACUCGGAAUCACUGGGCGUAAAGGGCGCGUAGGCGGGAUAGCAAGUCAGAUGUGAAAUCCUCUGGCUUAACCCUAGAACUGCAUUUGAAACUGUUAUUCUAGAGUAUGGGAGAGGUAGGUGGAAUUCUUGGUGUAGUGGUGAAAUCCGUAGAGAUCACGAGGAAUACUCAUUGCGAAGGCGGCCUGCUAGAACAUAACUGACGCUGAUGCGCGAAAGCGUGGGGAGCAAACAGGAUUAGAUACCCGAGUAGUC